UCCUUAUUUCCACAUAGGAAUACACCCCAAAAAAGCAAUCAGGAUUGGAAAUUGAUCACAGAAACCUUAACUGGAAUGCCUCCAAAAGCUAUUAUUUCAUCUAAGAAAGGGGCAGAAACUUGACUGUGUGCCAGGAAGCGUUCAUACAAAGCCAAGACAGCGAUCCAAAAACAGAGCCGCUUUUCUUGUUUCCAGAGCACCACGAAGCUCACACUCAUGCUGCCGCGGCCCUCGGGGCAGCACUUCUCCACACAGCAGCUCCAGUGAUGACCAGUCUGGGAGGUGAGCCAGAGUUCACCUGGCUGACUGGGGUUUAGUAGCGCUAGUCACGCAAUGCUGUGUGCGCAAACCUCCAGCAACUUUUCAACCCCUGCACACAAGAAAGCCAUCAAGUACCUGCAAUUGACAGAAUCGCGUGCAAUUCAGGUACUCCUGGACUGGACUGGAUCGCAGCCAAAAGAACAAAGUAAAAAGUGGAAUGGAACCGUGCCAGGCCCUGUGUGAAUAGGAGUAAUGUAUGAGGAACGAAAGUAUAAUAAAGACUGAUAUAACUUCUACGUGAAUAUACUUUUUUAUUUAUUCAUGGUUUUUCCCCUUUGGUUUAGGUCAGAGUUUAUCAGCUUUACUCCCUUAAUCCCAGCUUUGUUGUCACUUGUAUCCUCUCUGCUGUGUUUUAGUCAUAAACGCUUCAUCCGAGUACUUCUUAAAUAUGAUGAAGUAAAAAAACACAACAAAAUCACAAAUAACAGCAAACAUGCAUGCAAGCUUUGACUCCACAGUCCACAGUAGAACAGAGAAGAAAUGUCCAGCUUUACUUAGCUUCAGCUUAUUAUAACUAAGUGGGCUCUGUUCUGAUUUUGAUCUGUGCUCCAUUCCCGUGAAUCCAGGCCUUGUUUUGAAGUUUGAGAGCGUGAUCCCGGCAAUACAAGCAAGCCUGGAGGUGGUUAGGACAUGAAAGUGAGUUAACUCCACUUACCGUCAUGCAUUGCGCAUCUACGUUUGGUGAAAGCAGCAUGUGCUGAGGCGCUCCGCACAAACUAUGGCUCAGUGAAGCUGCGGCUCUUGACGAGAGCGCGUCGUGUCAGCAGAGACUCUGGCUGCAGCUGCCGCAGAUACCAUCAUUGCGCUGGACCCUAAGGAGGAAUCAGCAUCUUCGAAAAUAAUCGUUCUGAUUGCUUUGCUGGAUUUGCCUGGGCGUAAAUCGUUUAAUGCUGGGGCUCUUUGGACGAAUUAACGGGAUUAAUCGCGACAUUGACAAACGUGGAGAAGUUAUUAUUGUUUUGUGUUUUUGUUUAAACGUGAUCACGAUGAUAGCAGCUGAUGGAUUGAAAACUCCAGCUAUGGAUCUUUUCGCGUGUUAUAAGGAAAUGCUGACUUCAGUCUGGGAUGAGUUUCUACUCCUGCCACAGAUUCAGCUGCUGGACAAGUCUCUUGGGAUAUUUGGGAUACACGCGUGGUCAAGUGCUGACAUUUUCAUAGAUGGUUAAUGUUAUAUGCUGAUUUCGGAAAUGAAAUCUGUAUUUGGUGGAUUUCUUUUUUUUUUUUUUUUUUUGCACAGUUGGAUAUCUUGGAUUAUGUUUUGGAAGCUGUGCUCCAGUGGAUGUCCAGUGAUUUGGAUAAUAUGUGCGCAUCUCCUGAUUCCGCAGUGAAGGAAUCCAAAUUCUCGAGAUGAGAGUACGACCUUUAAUUGCAUGCUAGCGAUCUUCUGCUGGAAGAGGUCCAUCAUGUGAUUUUCAUUGGAGAGUGGCCGGAGGAGACGACCACAAUAAAAACAAGUGAGCGUGCAUGAGCGUGUGUUUGUGUGUCAUCUGGCCUUGUUAAUAACUGCAGGUUGUUUUCCAUCUCGAGGUCGUCAACUGCGGUCAUGGCAUACACAAAUGGAAGAGAGGAGGCCCUAGGAGGUGAUAUCAGUGAGUGCUCCUGGGAGUGUCGUGUAAAUGCAUGCACAGGUCUUGUGAGUUUCUUAGUAAUUGUGCUUCUGAGAGUUUGUGAGAGUUGCAAGUGUGUGUGAAAGUGCUGUUGCUUGAAAGUGUUUUCCUGUGUGUGGAGAACUCAUAAGCAGGAUGAUGUAGCAAGCAGGAAGCUCUGAUCCCAAUAGGCGUGUCAGCAGGAGUAGUUUUUCAUAAGGUAGUAAUCUGACCAGACAAAGGGGUGUCCAAUAUUAAAGAGAGCCCCUACCCCUGAGCUAAUCAAGACCUGACCAACCCUUCUGCUGGCUCACCAACUCUCUAAACAUUACCUCAUCUGGAGGCUUAGCCUAGCCACAUGCAGCUCCAGUCUGCUGGUGUACAUGAUAACUCACUUAGCACAGUAUGAUAGCUAGAAAAAAACGGAAAUAUAAGAAAGGAUAUAAAAGAAAUGGGACCAGCACACAACUACCUAUGGUGCCUAGUGCCAGGGAAAGGUAUUUUAAAAGGCAGAGGAAAGAAAGAAUCAUUUUACCAUGUCCUCCAGAAACUCUGGGAAGCAAUUUGCCGGUAUUCAGUUUCUCUCCCCACCGUCCUGUUAUUGCUGUUUUCCCCUCAACUCUUGGAGCCUUCAACCUGAAAAGGAGAGUUUUUUUAGUUUAGGCUUUGUGUCACUUGGAAACAGUGCCUUUGUUGCCAAGGCAACAGUUCUGGGACAAUGAAACUCAGAAGCAGAGAGCGCCUUUGUCUUGGAAUGGAUGAAGAGUGACCGACGCUGUCUUUGGUCCAGCCUCUUAACGUGUUUGCAUGUGCUGUAGAAACCUGCAAGAGUCUUGAUUCAGUAUCUACCUGAACCUGUUGACCUCAUAAAAUAAAACCAGCACACCAAAUAAAUUUUAAAUGUUACAAUGGAAAAGCUACUUUGGCUACUUCAAUUUUCCUGGGAUGCCAGGUUUUGCAGAGCUUCCCUGAAACCCUAGAUUUACACUAAGCAAAGAUGAAACGUAGAUCUCAGUUUCUAAUCCGGAUUUGACUUUUUUUAGUUUCUGCGAAAGUACUGCUUUCACUUAUUUUUAUAUACAGUCAUGCAUAUAUGAGUCAUUUUCUGCUUUUGUUCUUUUUCAUAUGGUUAACUUCUACAUGUACAACAUGCUCACAAAUUUCAGUUAUUAGAGCUAACAAAUGAUAGUGCCCAUAGACUCUAUAUAAAAGAGGCUUUGGCUUACCAUGUUAAAUUUCUUGAGCUUAAAGUUGCUAUGUUUAGGCCAGAGAGUAAUUCUGAGCUAUUAGUUAUCAGCUAAUGCUAGCAAGCUAGGAUAGCAAGCUACAUCUGUCAGCUGUAUGGGUCCAUUUCACAGACAGAGAUAUCAGAAGUGUACUGGGGUUUCACUCACAGGCAGUGGAGCAAAGAGCAAAACUUUGUGCACAGAUUUUCCCAACUCAUAGCAGGAUAUUAUUUCUCCCAUUCAGUGAAUUAGCAGAGGUAAAGACUAGAAAACCGGUACUGCCUUUAGCUGCCUAUGCCAGCUGCUUAACCCUGAACAUGCCAUUAAAAAAAAAAAAAACUUCUACAUACUGCAGCUUUUUUGGCUCUAAUUUGAAAUAUAAUUUUGCAUGAGUAAGUGGGACUUUCCCUAAAUGAGUCAAGUCACUUAUGAUCUGUAUGUCUGUGAGAGACCUGUUGUUUUUACAGACACUGGAGAGGAAGCAAGUUGUCUUAUGUACUAUUCAUUUAUUUUAAAAAGAUAAAGUGCACAUGGCCUGUAAUUCUUAUUGUACUGUUGUUUCCUUCUCUCUGUUUUUUCUUGUUAUAAUAUUUAGAGGCCAAAAUGGGAAACCAUAUAAUUAAUUAUAGGAAUAUUAACAUAAUCCAAAUCAGUUCAAGCAAGUGUACUAAAUGAUUUCAUUUUAACACCCAACAAGACUCAGAGAUUAUACAACACUGCGGGUUAAUCUUGUGGCAUCUGUAAAUCAAGGGAACAUUUGGCAUUACUCAUUUACAGUUAUCAAAGUUUCUUAAUACAAGUUUGGGCAGUGUUGGUCGAGAUAAAAUAUGGCUCCAGUUUUUUUUUCUUUUGUCUUAUAUGUGCACCUCUCUCUGAAUCACUUUAUUUCGCCAUUCUUUAUCUUUUUCAGAUGAUCACCAAGAAGGGGCUGAGUAAUGGAAACAUGACCUCAAGAGAUUCAACAGGUAAGAUUCUGUCUUUUGUUUGAUCUUAAAGCCUAGGAGUACGUGAUUACACACAGUGUCGUCUUAUGAGGAGCAGCGACCGUUGCUAUAAACAACCACAGUAUGGUAUGUUGACUAAAUAAACAGAGGAAGAAGUGGUAGUUCACAUAUAUGAGAGAUGUGAUCAGGGUGGUGCCACUGGAUUCAUGCCCGUGUUCUUGCUGUUUUUUUUAUUGUGUAACCCAAGUCAUGACAGCACAGUAAAGAAUGCAGGGACACAGAGAUAUCACUUCAAACACAACUUCUCUCAGGAGCCUCAGAUCCUUUCAGUGGAACUGAAUGAAGAUAUGCUUUGAUGGCCCACCACAGAGUCGGUGGCUUUCAAAGAAACCUGUUGAUGGGAUUGCACAGUGCACCCAGCCAACUGAAUGAGUGGUACUGUAUUUGUGCCUCUCAGGAUACUCCUGGGUGUUCUCAUUGGAGGUCAGAUCUGCUUGACCUCAACAUGAGUAGUCAUUUUCUGUAGAUUUUUUGGCUUGCCUUAUCUUUUUUUUUUUCUUCCCUUCCAUCUUGUUCUCUCACCAAAUGGAGAACUGUGUAUGGAUGGCAGGGUGCCAGCAGACAGGUACAGUAGAUGUGCUGAUGAGGGAUGGUGAUAGGGGCAGGCCUCAGUUGCAGCCUCGGGCAGAGAGAGACAUACACAGGCAGGCGUAGACUCAGAGGCAGGUUGAAACCUGGUGCUGUAUGCUGAUGUUUCUCUGCUUGGCUGUGCUCCAGGGUGAGGCAUGUGAGAGAAACGUGGGAAGGGAAAAUCCAGAAUGGAGGCCAGAAGAGAUGCACAAAGUCAGGAUCAUACUAAAUCCCGGUUUGGACUGUUGGACCAGCAUCCUCUGAAGCAGAUGUUUGCUCCUGGCAAGGCUGCCGACAACAUGAGCUCCAACACUGGCAAUCUAGCUCCCAGGAUUCAGUGAGCAGCGUGAGCUUGGAGAAGCUAUGACAUAAACGCAGCAGGACGGUGAAUCGCGUUUUGCUGCUCAGACAUCAUGGAACAGAUCAGUCAGCCCCAUCUGGAGAAAUGCUCUAUAGAAGAGUCAUAUAUUUACCAUAGUUACUUUGAUGGAUACAGCAUGUUGUUUGACUUUAUUUUUCUAAUUGAUUUUAAUAGAAAUGAUAAUUUCCCGGCAUCUAUGUAUCUUCUCUUGUUUUGCAGAUUUUAUUUACAGUGUCGCUCAUUCAGUAACUUCAGCAUUUACUGUGUAAUUUUUGUCAUUUUUGGUAAUGUGACUGUUUUCAAAGUGGCUCUUCUAAAACUGCAUAAGAACAUUUAUCCAGGGAGGAGCACAAAAGAUGUCUCCUACUGUGUAAAAAGACUUAAUGCACAUGUGAUUGAGAUUAAUCAGACGAAUCACUCAGUCAGUGGAUAUGUGAUUUUCAUCUUCGACAAAGAAGCCAUUGUCAUUAAUGUAAAACCAUGAAUUCUCCUUCUUACGCUGCAUUUUAUUGUGACACAUUGGCAGCUUCUGCUAAUUUCAGUUAAUAAUCCUGUCAAGCAGUUUAUUCUCAUUAUGAUUUAUGACUCCAUAGCUUUUGUUGUUUUUGUUAAGCCCUGUUAGCAGAAAUUAAAAGGUGUAUCCAAGCUGCUGUUUGUUUGUGUUGUCAUUCCAGAUACAUGAGAUAAAUGGUUGGAUGUUUCAGUGGUGUUCAUUGUUACGGUUAUUCAUGCUGGCUUCCUUACUAGUUAGGCCAGUAUGUGCUAGUCUAGCAUUUGAGGAAUAAAUAGGGUGUUAUCUUUUUUUUUUUU
Haplochromis burtoni (Burton's mouthbrooder) is the source of this 5878-nucleotide long non-coding RNA. RefSeq lists it as uncharacterized. The record is from RefSeq and is a predicted model, not a curated record. The transcript has 8 exons. Lineage: Eukaryota; Metazoa; Chordata; Actinopteri; Cichliformes; Cichlidae.